Molecule: long non-coding RNA, 262 nt
Filed under: Dermacentor andersoni
Lineage: Eukaryota; Metazoa; Arthropoda; Arachnida; Ixodida; Ixodidae
Description: uncharacterized LOC126534301
Source: RNAcentral
CUGCGUUUUCUGUGUUCUUUGUGUGCUUCGCUGUGACAUCUUUGGAAUAUUCCUGCGUGUUGCUCGCUUUUUAUGGACUUGUUGCCUCGAAGAUCGCCAUGAUCGCCUCCGACUCAGCGACAUCAAGGAUUCAAAAUGAGCUGGGAGAGGCCCCAGCUGGAACGGUUCACAUAGGUUGAAGGAGUGCACAUUGAGAAGGUUAUCCUGGCACAGUUUACCAUGGCCUGCCAUGGUAGACCAGGAAAGUUUGCAAGGGCCUUGC